Brassica oleracea var. oleracea is the source of this 831-nucleotide long non-coding RNA. RefSeq lists it as uncharacterized. The transcript is spliced from 4 exons. The record is from RefSeq and is a predicted model, not a curated record. Lineage: Eukaryota; Viridiplantae; Streptophyta; Magnoliopsida; Brassicales; Brassicaceae.
UACAAUCGUUAUGGCCUUGCGAAUAGACCCAAAAGUGCUUCUCCGCUAAACCUAAUUGUCUCCUUCGUUCAUCUGAUUUUGACUUCGGCGGCGAGGAUGACGAUCCAUUGUUCUCUAUCUCCUGUAACGGAACUCUGACUUUAAUGGCAGUAAUACAGACGCCCAGUACGAGCCAUUCAAUCCGUCGUUUCCGGCGAAAUCUCUGCUAUAAAUAGGCGGUGAAACUUGAGUAUAAAAAGGUUGAAGUUAAGAAAGACAAUAUGCUGGAGUCCUCAAAGGAUCUCUUCUUUCUAACUUCAUCUCGUAUUUGAUACUACAAGCUGGUACAAAUCUGGAGGAUUUAGUUAUGAACUUUCUCCCAAGGUGGCUUAAUGUGAAGCUUAAUCUUUCUCCAAGCCCAGUUCUUGGAUUUCAUGGUUAUUUGCUUGAGGGAAAACUGGAUUCUCCAAAACUCUGGUCAGCAGAACAAGUUUCAAUCAGUUAAAUAGUUAUUUCAAAAAAGGUGAAAAAAAAUAAUGUGAUGACGACAACUUUGUGGAUCACAAAUGGCAAAGAAGAUCCCUCUCUGUGAUGGCAGGAAGAGUAUUUACUCAGCUGGGACACUGCCCUUAGAGAGAGAAGAUUUUUUUUUGGAUUUGAAUAACAAGAAGUUUCUGGUUCUUCAUCUAGGUAAUGCUUAUUAAUGUUUUUGUAGAUGGUUUUAUUUUUCCAAAGGUGGGAUCUGUACUCUUUUUACAGUUUUUAGUAAUGUGAAUCAUAUAUUCUUUUGGCAUGAGGGAAAUGCAACUCAAUUUUGCUAUAAAGCUGGUGAAGUUUGAUUUUUAUCAGUUA